CUGGCGGCAUGCUUAACACAUGCAAGUCGAACGAGACCUUCGGGUCUAGUGGCGCACGGGUGCGUAACGCGUGGGAAUCUGCCCUUAGGUACGGAAUAACUCAGAGAAAUUUGUGCUAAUACCGUAUGAUGUCGAAAGACCAAAGAUUUAUCGCCUAAGGAUGAGCCCGCGUAAGAUUAGCUUGUUGGUGAGGUAAAAGCUCACCAAGGCGACGAUCUUUAGCUGGUCUGAGAGGAUGAUCAGCCACACUGGGACUGAGACACGGCCCAGACUCCUACGGGAGGCAGCAGUGGGGAAUAUUGGACAAUGGGCGAAAGCCUGAUCCAGCAAUGCCGCGUGAGUGAUGAAGGCCUUAGGGUUGUAAAGCUCUUUUACCAGGGAUGAUAAUGACAGUACCUGGAGAAUAAGCUCCGGCUAACUCCGUGCCAGCAGCCGCGGUAAUACGGAGGGAGCUAGCGUUGUUCGGAAUUACUGGGCGUAAAGAGUACGUAGGCGGUGAUUCAAGUCAGAGGUGAAAGCCUGGAGCUCAACUCCAGAACUGCCUUUGAAACUAGAUCGCUAGAAUUAUGGAGAGGUUAGUGGAAUUCCGAGUGUAGAGGUGAAAUUCGUAGAUAUUCGGAAGAACACCAGUGGCGAAGGCGACUAACUGGACAUAUAUUGACGCUGAGGUACGAAAGCGUGGGGAGCAAACAGGAUUAGAUACCCUGGUAGUCCACGCCGUAAACGAUGAUAACUAGCUGUUCGGGGUCUACGAUCCUGAGUGGCGCAGCUAACGCAUUAAGUUAUCCGCCUGGGGAGUACGGUCGCAAGAUUAAAACUCAAAGGAAUUGACGGGGGCCUGCACAAGCGGUGGAGCAUGUGGUUUAAUUCGA
This 872-nucleotide ribosomal RNA is filed under the name Sphingomonadaceae bacterium PB207. RNAcentral's name for it is "bacterial SSU rRNA". It matches the Rfam family "Bacterial small subunit ribosomal RNA", at positions 36 to 954 of the family's 1533-position model. Lineage: Bacteria; Pseudomonadati; Pseudomonadota; Alphaproteobacteria; Sphingomonadales; Sphingomonadaceae. The record is from RNAcentral.